UACUUUCAGCAACGGAUGUCUUGGUUCCCACAACGAUGAAGGACGCAGCAAAGUGCGAAAAGCAGUGUGAAUUGCGGAAUUCUAUGAACAAUCAGGUCUCUGAACGCAAAUGGCGGCUGUAAAAAGCCAUGCUUGUUUCAGUGUCU
This is a ribosomal RNA of Cryptosporidium muris RN66, 146 nucleotides long. It matches the Rfam family "5.8S ribosomal RNA". From Rfam's summary of the family: 5.8S ribosomal RNA (5.8S rRNA) is a component of the large subunit of the eukaryotic ribosome. It is transcribed by RNA polymerase I as part of the 45S precursor that also contains 18S and 28S rRNA. The record is from Rfam. Lineage: Eukaryota; Apicomplexa; Conoidasida; Eucoccidiorida; Cryptosporidiidae.